This 241-nucleotide unclassified non-coding RNA is filed under the name uncultured Helotiales. Its description in RNAcentral is "sequence contains ITS2". The stretch from base 1 to 52 matches the Rfam family "5.8S ribosomal RNA", at positions 103 to 154 of the family's 154-position model. Lineage: Eukaryota; Fungi; Ascomycota; Leotiomycetes; Helotiales. The record is from RNAcentral.
AACGCACAUUGCGCCCUCUGGUAUUCCGGGGGGCAUGCCUGUUCGAGCGUCAUUAUAACCACUCAAGCUCUCGCUUGGUAUUGGGGUUCGCGGUCUCGCGGCCCCUAAAGUCAGUGGCGGUGCCUGUCGGCUCUACGCGUAGUAAUACUCCUCGCGAUUGAGUCCGGUAGGUUUACUUGCCAGCAACCCCUAAUUUUUACAGGUUGACCUCGGAUCAGGUAGGGAUACCCGCUGAACUUAA